RNAcentral lists this transfer RNA (87 nucleotides) under Candidatus Wildermuthbacteria bacterium RIFCSPHIGHO2_01_FULL_45_20. RNAcentral describes it as "tRNA-Tyr". It matches the Rfam family "tRNA". From Rfam's summary of the family: Transfer RNA (tRNA) molecules are approximately 80 nucleotides in length. Their secondary structure includes four short double-helical elements and three loops (D, anti-codon, and T loops). The record is from RNAcentral. RNAcentral also lists the same sequence under 2 other names. Lineage: Bacteria; Candidatus Wildermuthiibacteriota.
GGGUCGGUGGCGGAGCGGUCAAACGCACCUGACUGUAAAUCAGGCGGCUUUAUGCCUACGGGGGUUCGAAUCCCUCCCGGCCCACCG